RNAcentral lists this ribosomal RNA (468 nucleotides) under uncultured bacterium. RNAcentral describes it as "partial 16S ribosomal RNA". It matches the Rfam family "Bacterial small subunit ribosomal RNA", at positions 28 to 507 of the family's 1533-position model. The record is from RNAcentral.
GACGAACGCUGGCGGCGUGCUUAACACAUGCAAGUCGAACGGAAAGGCCCUGCUUUUGUGGGGUUCUCGAGUGGCGAACGGGUGAGUAACACGUGAGUAACCUGCCCUUGUCUUUGUGAUAUCUUCAGGAAACUGGGGCUAAUACCGGAUAGGAGCUCCUGCUCCAUGGUGGUCGUUGGAAAGUUUCGGCGGUGGGGGAUGGACUCGCGGCUUAUCAGCUUGUUGGUGGGGUAGUGGCUUACCAAGGCUUUGACGGGUAGCCGGCCUGAGAGGGUGACCGGCCACAUUGGGACUGAGAUACGGCCCAGACUCCUACGGGAGGCAGCAGUGGGGAAUAUUGCACAAUGGGCGGAAGCCUGAUGCAGCAACGCCGCGUGCGGGAUGACGGCCUUCGGGUUGUAAACCGCUUUCGCCUGAGACGAAGCGUGAGUGACGGUAAUGGGUAAAGAAGCACCGGCUAACUACGUG